RNAcentral lists this long non-coding RNA (678 nucleotides) under Manacus vitellinus (golden-collared manakin). RNAcentral's name for it is "lncRNA (ENSMVIG00005007264.1)". Lineage: Eukaryota; Metazoa; Chordata; Aves; Passeriformes; Pipridae. The record is from RNAcentral.
CCGCAGCCAGAUCACAGCUAAAACUUCUGCAGAAAGUUUUGACGGAACCAGGACAAUUCAGAAUGUUCAGUGCCAGUCUGCUCAAUUAGAAGAUGGUUAAACAAACCCUCUUAAUAACUGACUACUUUUGGGAAAGGCUGUAACUGUACUGCACUUCGUGUUCCUUAUGGAUUUCUUCAGCUUUUGCCUUAUGCUGUACACCCUAUACACUUCUCUCGUUUGUUUCCGACUAGUUGCUGCAUGUGAUUCCUUCUUAAAGCCCAGAGAUGUCAUACACCAUCAUCACUACAACUGUGGUAACUCCAGGGAACAAUGAAUUUCCUUGUAAAUGUUUAGUGUUCUUUUCAGGAAAGAUAAUGAUGCACACUGCAGGUGAAGGAGACUUGUCAGAGCUAGGAGUGCUGCUCACAUUAUGGACUGAGGAAGAGAGUACCAUAUAGAAAGACCAUUAUGGUCCCUCAGGUUCCAGAAGCAUCUGGAAGAAGACAGAAAGUGAAUUUUAAGCUACUGUGCCCUACACCCUUCUGUUUCAAAGCCCUUCAUACAUUGUCCUCCAACAGCGAUCUCCAGAGCAAUCCUGAUGUGGUGUUGUAAAGCUCUUUGUAAAGUAUGUCUUCUUUUGUCAAAAAGAAAAACCCAAUUAAAAAGUACUAAUGUACUGUGUGUACAUAAAGGGCU